UCCCUGGUGGUCCAGUGGUUAGGACUUGGCACUUUCGUUGCCAUCACUCAGGUUUAAUCCCUGGUCGGAGAA
RNAcentral lists this transfer RNA (72 nucleotides) under Bos taurus (domestic cattle). It matches the Rfam family "tRNA". From Rfam's summary of the family: Transfer RNA (tRNA) molecules are approximately 80 nucleotides in length. Their secondary structure includes four short double-helical elements and three loops (D, anti-codon, and T loops). Further hydrogen bonds mediate the characteristic L-shaped molecular structure. tRNAs have two regions of fundamental functional importance: the anti-codon, which is responsible for specific mRNA codon recognition, and the 3' end, to which the tRNAs corresponding amino acid is attached (by aminoacyl-tRNA synthetases). tRNAs cope with the degeneracy of the genetic code in two manners: having more than one tRNA (with a specific anti-codon) for a particular amino acid; and 'wobble' base-pairing, i.e. permitting non-standard base-pairing at the 3rd anti-codon position. RNAcentral also lists the same sequence under 3 other names. Lineage: Eukaryota; Metazoa; Chordata; Mammalia; Artiodactyla; Bovidae. The record is from Rfam by way of RNAcentral.